CCCUUAGAUGUCCUGGGCCGCACGCGCGCUACACUGAGUGUCUGAGAUACGAGUCUGCCUGGUCCGGCAAGGUCUAGGUAAUCGCUAAAAGACACAUCAUGCUUGGGAUAGAUUAUUUCAAAUAUUAAUCUUGAACGAGGAAUUCCUAGUAAGCGCAAGUCAACAGCUUGCGUUGAUUACGUCCCUGCCCUUUGUACACACCGCCCGUCGCUACUACUGAUUGGAUGUUUAAGCGAGGUUCUCGAACUGCUAGCGACUUAGCUUCGGUGAGGUCGCAGUGUGGGAAGUGAACCUAGCUUUGGUGUCUAGAGGAAGUAAAAGUCGUAACA
Molecule: ribosomal RNA, 329 nt
Filed under: uncultured eukaryote
Lineage: Eukaryota
Description: partial 18S ribosomal RNA
Rfam family: Eukaryotic small subunit ribosomal RNA
Source: RNAcentral